RNAcentral lists this ribosomal RNA (497 nucleotides) under uncultured bacterium. RNAcentral describes it as "partial 16S ribosomal RNA". It matches the Rfam family "Bacterial small subunit ribosomal RNA", at positions 28 to 507 of the family's 1533-position model. The record is from RNAcentral.
GAUGAAUGCUGGCGGCGUGCCUAAUACAUGCAAGUCGAGCGAACAGAUAAGGAGCUUGCUCCUUUGACGUUAGCGGCGGACGGGUGAGUAACACGUGGGUAACCUACCUAUAAGACUGGAAUAACUCCGGGAAACCGGGGCUAAUGCCGGAUAACAUUUAGAACCGCAUGGUUCUAAAGUGAAAGAUGGUUUUACUAUCACUUAUAGAUGGACCCGCGCCGUAUUAGCUAGUUGGUAAGGUAACGGCUUACCAAGGCAACGAUACGUAGCCAACCUGAGAGGGUGAUCGGCCACACUGGAACUGAGACACGGUCCAGACUCCUACGGGAGGCAGCAGUAGGGAAUCUUCCGCAAUGGGCGAAAGCCUGACGGAGCAACGCCGCGUGAGUGAUGAAGGUCUUCGGAUCGUAAAACUCUGUUAUUAGGGAAGAACAAAUGUGUAAGUAACUGUGCACGUCUUGACGGUACCUAAUCAGAAAGCCACGGCUAACUACGUG